GACGAACGCUGGCGGCGUGCCUAAUACAUGCAAGUAGAACGCUGAAGAGAGGAGCUUGCUCUUCUUGGAUGAGUUGCGAACGGGUGAGUAACGCGUAGGUAACCUGCCUUGUAGCGGGGGAUAACUAUUGGAAACGAUAGCUAAUACCGCAUAACAAUGGAUGACACAUGUCAUUUAUUUGAAAGGGGCAAUUGCUCCACUACAAGAUGGACCUGCGUUGUAUUAGCUAGUAGGUGAGGUAAUGGCUCACCUAGGCGACGAUACAUAGCCGACCUGAGAGGGUGAUCGGCCACACUGGGACUGAGACACGGCCCAGACUCCUACGGGAGGCAGCAGUAGGGAAUCUUCGGCAAUGGGGGCAACCCUGACCGAGCAACGCCGCGUGAGUGAAGAAGGUUUUCGGAUCGUAAAGCUCUGUUGUAAGUCAAGAACGGGUGUGAGAGUGGAAAGUUCACACUGUGACGGUAGCUUACCAGAAAGGGACGGCUAAUUACGUG
Molecule: ribosomal RNA, 497 nt
Filed under: uncultured bacterium
Lineage: Bacteria
Description: partial 16S ribosomal RNA
Rfam family: Bacterial small subunit ribosomal RNA
Source: RNAcentral